Molecule: ribosomal RNA, 465 nt
Filed under: Vreelandella stevensii
Lineage: Bacteria; Pseudomonadati; Pseudomonadota; Gammaproteobacteria; Oceanospirillales; Halomonadaceae
Description: partial 16S ribosomal RNA
Rfam family: Bacterial small subunit ribosomal RNA
Source: RNAcentral
CCUACGGGUGGCUGCAGUGGGGAAUAUUGGACAAUGGGGGCAACCCUGAUCCAGCCAUGCCGCGUGUGUGAAGAAGGCCCUCGGGUUGUAAAGCACUUUCAGUGAGGAAGAACGCCUGGUGGUGAAUACCCAUCAGGAAAGACAUCACUCACAGAAGAAGCACCGGCUAACUCCGUGCCAGCAGCCGCGGUAAUACGGAGGGUGCGAGCGUUAAUCGGAAUUACUGGGCGUAAAGCGCGCGUAGGUGGCUUGAUAAGCCGGUUGUGAAAGCCCCGGGCUCAACCUGGGAACGGCAUCCGGAACUGUCAAGCUAGAGUGCAGGAGAGGAAGGUAGAAUUCCCGGUGUAGCGGUGAAAUGCGUAGAGAUCGGGAGGAAUACCAGUGGCGAAGGCGGCCUUCUGGACUGACACUGACACUGAGGUGCGAAAGCGUGGGUAGCAAACAGGAUUAGAUACCCCAGUAGUC